CCUACGGGUGGCAGCAGUCGAGAAUCAUUCACAAUGGGGGAAACACUGAUGGUGCGACGCCGCGUGGGGGAAUGAAGUACUUCGGAUCGUAAACCCCUGUCAUGUGGGAGCAAAUUAAAAAGAUAGUACCACAAGAGGAAGAGACGGCUAACUCUGUUCCAGUAGCCGCGGUAAUACAGAGGUCUCAAGCGGUGUUCGGAGUCACUGGGCGUAAAGCGUGCGGGGGCUGUUUCGUAAGUCGUGUGUGAAAGGCGCGGGCUCAACCCGCGGACGGCACAUGAUACUGGGAGACUAGAGUAAGAGAGGGGGAAGCGGAAUGCGCGGUGUAGCAGUGAAAUGCGUAGAUAUCGAGAAGAACACUCGUGGCGAAGGCGGGUUCCUGGACAUUCACUGACGCUGAGGCACGAAGGCCAGGGGAGCGAAAGGGAUUAGAUACCCUAGUAGUC
RNAcentral lists this ribosomal RNA (446 nucleotides) under uncultured bacterium. RNAcentral describes it as "partial 16S ribosomal RNA". It matches the Rfam family "Bacterial small subunit ribosomal RNA", at positions 338 to 795 of the family's 1533-position model. The record is from RNAcentral.